GCACAAGCAGCGGAGCGUGUGGUUUAAUUCGAUGCUACACGAAGAACCUUACCAGGGUUUGACAUACAAGUGGUAGGAAGCCGAAAGGUGACCGACCCUUCGGGGAGCUUGCACAGGUGCUGCAUGGCUGUCGUCAGCUCGUGUCGUGAGAUGUUCGGUUAAGUCCGCUAACGAGCGCAACCCUCGCUGUGUGUUAUAUGUGUCACACGGGACUGCCGGUCUUAAGCCGGAGGAAGGUGGGGAUGAUGUCAAGUCAGCAUGGCCUUUAUAUCCUGGGCUACACACACGCUACAAUGGCCAACACAAUAGGUUGCUAAGCCGCGAGGUGGCGCCAAUCCAUAAGGUUGGUCUCAGUUCAGAUUGUAGGCUGCAACCCGCCUGCAUGAAGAUGGAGUUGCUAGUAACCGCAGGUCAGCUAUACUGCGGUGAAUGCGUUCCCGGGGCUU
This 446-nucleotide ribosomal RNA is filed under the name uncultured Leptolinea sp. RNAcentral's name for it is "bacterial SSU rRNA". It matches the Rfam family "Bacterial small subunit ribosomal RNA", at positions 923 to 1382 of the family's 1533-position model. The record is from RNAcentral. Lineage: Bacteria; Bacillati; Chloroflexota; Anaerolineae; Anaerolineales; Anaerolineaceae.